This 240-nucleotide long non-coding RNA is filed under the name Homo sapiens (human). RNAcentral describes it as "LNC_000555". The record is from RNAcentral. Lineage: Eukaryota; Metazoa; Chordata; Mammalia; Primates; Hominidae.
CCGCCACUGAACAUUGGAAUAGUUUCAAACAUCAUCUUGUGAAACAACAGUGCCACUGGUCUAUAAUCCAGAUGAUUCUUUAACAGGUAGCUAUAAUAAUACACAUAGCGCCUCUGACUGGGAAUAGUUACUCCCUUUUUGUCUCUGGUCCUUACUUCCCCAUAGAAAUCUAGGGCCUCUUGUGCCUUUAAAAAUUUGCCCCGAUGUAAUAAAUAUGCACAUAUCAUUACACCAGUUCGU